GCAGCUGGAUAGCUCAGCUGGUUAGAGCGUGGUGCUGAUAACACCAAGGCUGCAGGUUCGAUCCCUGCAAGGGGCAGCUGCG
RNAcentral lists this transfer RNA (82 nucleotides) under Podarcis lilfordi (Lilford's wall lizard). RNAcentral's name for it is "tRNA.Ile". The stretch from base 10 to 68 matches the Rfam family "tRNA", at positions 8 to 63 of the family's 71-position model. Rfam says of the family: Transfer RNA (tRNA) molecules are approximately 80 nucleotides in length. Lineage: Eukaryota; Metazoa; Chordata; Lepidosauria; Squamata; Lacertidae. The record is from RNAcentral.